Molecule: ribosomal RNA, 421 nt
Filed under: uncultured bacterium
Lineage: Bacteria
Description: bacterial SSU rRNA
Rfam family: Bacterial small subunit ribosomal RNA
Source: RNAcentral
GAGGAAUAUUGGGCAAUGCCCGCAAGGGUGACCCAGCAACGCCGCGUGGAGGAUGAAUGUCGUAAGAUUGUAAACUCCUGUUAGAGGGGAAGAAUAGUACCGGUUGGACCGGUAUAUGACUGUACCCUCAGAGAAAGCCCCGGCUAACUACGUGCCAGCAGCCGCGGUAAUACGUAGGGGGCAAGCGUUGUCCGGAUUUACUGGGUGUAAAGGGCGCGCAGGCGGGAUAAAAAGUCAGUGGUGAAAUCCUACAGCUUAACUGUAGAACUGCCUUUGAUACUUUUAUUCUUGAGUUCGGGAGAGAGAGACGGAAUUCCAGGUGUAGUGGUGAAAUACGUAGAUAUCUGGAAGAACACCAGUUGCGAAGGCGGUCUCUUGGUCCGACACUGAUGCUGAGGCGCGAAAGCGUGGGGAGCAAACA